This 27-nucleotide non-coding RNA is filed under the name Bombyx mori (domestic silkworm). Lineage: Eukaryota; Metazoa; Arthropoda; Insecta; Lepidoptera; Bombycidae. RNAcentral also lists the same sequence under 1 other name. The record is from RNAcentral.
UGAAUUUCGAUGCAUUGCAAUGUGGAC